CUCAAACCUCAGCAAGGAACAAACAGAAUCAGCUCACCAGCUGGUAAUACUCUUUAUUCCAUCUGUAAAGCUCUCAAUUUUGGUUUCUGCAAGCUUUACACAGCACAUGUUUCUUCAGAAAAUCUUUAAAGAUUAUGAAUGCAAAUGUUUGGGCUGGAUUGCCAUGAUAGUGUCUUCUGAUUUGGAAGUACCUGAUUGUGGCAAACUUUGAAUCCCUCCCUUUUGGGAUCUGAAGAGAAGGGAUUUGCAGGUCAGCCUCACCUUCAUCCCUGAGAAGGUGAUGGAACAACUAGAUCUGGAAACCAAAUCCAGGCACAUGAAGAACAAAAAGAUGAUUCGAAGUAGUCAGCAAGUAUUCACCAAGGUAUUAAUUAUCUGGGGGAGAUUAUAAACUUGGUAGCCUGGAUCCAUAUUAAACAGCAGGCCUUUGAGAUUCAGCAAGAAGAAAGUUCUGGAAUACCUCCAUUGUCUCCCAUGAAACUCCAUUUGUCUAUGUCAUAGGUACACAGUGUCAUUCCCAUCUGUCAGCAAAGACCUGGCACCACGCCAAAACAAUAACUGAACAUGAAUGCUCAGACAGUACAACCAAAUAAACAGCAAAACAGGCUACAACAGGAGCUCUGAAAAUAUAACGUUCCUUCCAAGAGAGCAGUACAGAGAGCUAAGCUACCUUCCCUCCCUAAGAGACUUUCCCCUUCAGACAUGUUGCAUAGGUCUCAUCCUUUUUUUGAAGGAACCACGAGAAUGAAGGUUUUUUUUACUCCUUCUCAAUAAAAGCAGGGACUCAAACCAGGCUGCUCCAAUCAUUUCACAAAGCCCAUACAAGGCCAUAGUAUACAUUUCCUUCCUCAUCUCUUCCUUCUUCCAGAUGCAGUAGUUACUUGGAGUUCAGCCUGACUGUGAAUGUGCAGUGCUUGAUAACACUGAAAAACCUUUGUUAUAAAGUUGCUAUAGGUGCUUACAACAGAACCAUUUAUAACCUGGGUAAGAAACAUAGGCAGUGUAUCUAACAACAUUAAAAUAAAACUACUGCUCUGGUUGCAAAAUCAAUAAUCUGUCUGUUACAAAAAGCCAGAAUUAAGACCUUCCGAUUCAUUGUACCUCAGUCCUUUUGCAAGUAACUGAAACAUUCCUUCAUGACAUGUCAUGGUGCUUUUCUGCAUUAUCUGUCUUUCUGUUGGUCAA
Long non-coding RNA from Oxyura jamaicensis (ruddy duck), 1185 nucleotides. RefSeq lists it as uncharacterized. The record is from RefSeq and is a predicted model, not a curated record. Lineage: Eukaryota; Metazoa; Chordata; Aves; Anseriformes; Anatidae. The transcript is spliced from 5 exons.